Molecule: long non-coding RNA, 2924 nt
Organism: Moschus moschiferus (Siberian musk deer)
Lineage: Eukaryota; Metazoa; Chordata; Mammalia; Artiodactyla; Moschidae
Source: Ensembl
CAGACCGCCCAUCCUCUGCCCCCAGGCAGCCCUCAGGGCUCACAUGUUCUUUUUCCUUAGGCUCAGCCCAGCUGUGGAUGUCCUAGAUGGGACCUCAGAUGCGGCUGGUGUUGACAGAUUUCCUGACACGGAUGGAGAGGCGGGCACCUCGACGCCUGAUUCAGGAGGCCCCCAGGAGGUGACCUACGCCCAGCUGAACCACAAGCCCCUCACCCAGAGGGCAGCCAGAGCUGUGUUCCUGCUGUCCACAGAACCCCGGGCCGAGUCCAGCACGUAUGCAACCAUUGCCAGACAUUGACCCCACACCCACCUGGCCUCUGCAGUAAAGAUGCAGGAAGUCACACUUGCAAAAGCCCGAAGUGGACAUUGGGAGGGUUUCCCUGUGGAAUCAUUCCUUUCUGGAAAGACAUCCAGUCAAUCCUCCUGCAGGCAAGAGCUGGAGUCCUAAGACCCCACAUUACCUUCUAGGAGAUUCACUAACCAUGUGGUCCCUCCCACAACCAACUAGCUCCUUGGAGAGAAGGUGUAGCACUUGUUUCAAGAGACCCAGCUAUGGUGUUUGUUGGCUGUUUCCAGAGAUCCACCUAUAGUUCUUGGCUGUUUCUAGAGACCCAGCUUUGGCACUUGGCUGUUUUCCAGAGACCCAGCUAUUUUCCUACAGUUGCCCAGUGGAUUCCAGACAUGUCCUGUGUAUCUCCCACUGCCCCUGGAGAACCAUUUUGUCUUCUCAGCUGACUCUACAAACCUUCUAGAGUUCGGGUGGGGAUCUUGAAUCUGGGCUGCGCUCAUGCAGCUGAUAGCUGAUACCCAGUUCUCUGGAUCACACUUCACCUUGUUCGUCAGUCAAUGUUCUCCCAGGUCCAAGUGCAUCAGCCCUGCAUGUGGCACUGGGUACACGGGUUCUAGGUCCCAGUCUCUGCCUCCACCGUCCCCCAAAACUCAGUGAGGGAAACAAGACAAAAACAAGCCAAUCAGUGUUUUCCAACCCAAAGGUGUGUCUGAGGGGACUUGUGUCUGGGGGAAGGCGCAGAGCUGCCCCACCUGCAUACAGCUCCCAUCCCCUGCACGCACAGGUCCAUGAAGGCACGCACACACAGAUACACUUACACACAUGCACACACUGUACACACAUACACUCAUGCAUACACCUGCACUCGUGGGCACGGCAGGCUGGCCGAGGGAGUUGGUGAGGCCAUGGCUGCACAGGGAGGGCCCCUCAGGCUUUAGCUCCACCCAGAGGAAGAGGCAGACCCCCAUUUCCCACCCCACCCCAGUUCAUCCCCACUGGACGUCGUGCAUUUCCCCAAACACGAGAGGGCCCAGCAGCUGCAGGACACUGUCCUUGACCUGACCUUCACCCCUCACCGGGCUAAGGCCCGUCAGAUUUGGGAUUGGAGGCCAUUCAUCCCAACAAGUGUACAACUGCUGCUGUAACAAAUUACCACUCACAUAGCAGCACCAAACAACGCAGCUUAUUACCCUACAGUUCAGGAUGUCAGAAGUCUGAGAUCAGUUACACGGGGCUGAAAUCCGGGGUGGGCAGGGCUGUGUUCCUUCUGGAGGCUCCAGGGGAGGCUCCAUUCCUUUACCUUUUGCAGCGUCUGGGGGCUGUCCGCACUCCUUGGCUCAUGGCCCCUUCCUCCAUCUUCAGAUCCUCCCUCUGACUAGGACUCCUGCUUCUGGGGUCACGUCUCAUCUCCUCACUCUCUGACCCUCCUGCUUCUCUCUUGUAAGAACCCUGGUGAUUACAUUGGGUCCACCUAGAAUAUCCAAGGUCAUCUCCCCUUCACAAGAGCCUUAACUCAGUCACACCUGCAAAGACCCCUUUUGCACCUAAGGUAACACAGCAGCUGGUGCCUGCUUACCUGAGUGGGUGUCCAUCCGCAGCACCACCUCCGUUCGUGGGCUCCUCUGGGCUUGAAUGCCUCACUGAAUUCUGUGCAUCUCCUUGCAGGGAUGUUUCCUUCUGUUUCCACUAGCUUGUGAAAGAAUAAAUUCUUCAGAGUCUAGUUCCUGUGUCCCUAGAGCCUCUGUGUAAGAGGAGGUCGAGUAGAAGCAGUGGAGACUAGAAACACCCCCACAGUGUGACCCCCAGGUGCCCAUAGGGGAGGUGGCCCCCGUGUGACAGGACUGCGGCUGCCACCAGCCCCAUGCCCUCCCUUCCUGGGCUCCCAGCGAGGUGAUCUCCCAGCCUCCUUGCAGUUACGCGUGUCCUGGGAAGACGUUCACAGUGAGCAGGAUGCACGGAGCCGCUUCCAGGCCUGGCCCCAAACCCUCCCUCACAAGAUCCUGACUGUUGGCCCUUCUGCUGGUGGAAACGGAUGCCCUGGGCGACCUCGGCAGCACACACUGAGUGUGGGGCCCGGCUCCGAGGAUGACGGUGGAGUAGAGCGCCCUGUACCUCUUGUGUUAGCCCUGUUUCAGGUUUCUGUAAAGUUGAUGCUUUAACAUGUGUGAUACACGCAUAUUCUUGUGUGAACAUUAAUAAAGGGAAACCUUUAAAACGGAGUUGGGAAGCCUAGAGGGGCGCUCUCUCGCCAUUCCCCUCUGUUGCAGCUUACUUUACAUUCCCGGGCAGGAAGACAGUUACCUUAAUAGACAGCAGUGGAAGGAUGAUAUUCUCCUUGCCCAGCAACAGUCCAGCCAAUGAGAAAGAGCAAUAAAUCAGCUAAUGAGAAACAGCAACAACUCAGCCAAUGAGAAAAUAGCAACAUCCUGGCCAAUGAGAAACAACCGUAGCCCAGCCAAUGAGAAACAGCCACAUCCCAGCCAAUGAGAAACCAUCAUUGCCCUGAACACUUGCUUUUCUUCAAGGGGCUUUGAUUCAAAGCAGCCUCUUCCAGCUUCCUCCUUUUUGACUGUUAAGUGAUAUUCCUCUCCUUUGUUCUCUGGAUUUGACUGGUUUGCCAUAGUUUGAAUGUCCC